RNAcentral lists this ribosomal RNA (433 nucleotides) under uncultured bacterium. RNAcentral describes it as "partial 16S ribosomal RNA". It matches the Rfam family "Bacterial small subunit ribosomal RNA", at positions 29 to 507 of the family's 1533-position model. The record is from RNAcentral.
AACGAACGCUGGCGGCAUGCCUAACACAUGCAAGUCGAACGAGACCUUCGGGUCUAGUGGCGCACGGGUGCGUAACGCGUGGGAACCUGCCCUUAGGUUCGGAAUAACUCCCCGAAAGGGGUGCUAAUACCGGAUAAUGUCUUCGGACCAAAGAUUUAUCGCCUUUGGAUGGGCCCGCGUUGGAUUAGCUAGUUGGUAGGGUAAAAGCCUACCAAGGCGACGAUCCAUAGCUGGUCUGAGAGGAUGAUCAGCCACACUGGGACUGAGACACGGCCCAGACUCCUACGGGAGGCCGCAGGGGGGAAUAAUGGACAAUGGGCGAAAGCCUGAUCCAGCAAUGCCGCGUGAGUGAUGAAGGCCUUAGGGUUGUAAAGCUCUUUUACCCGGGAUGAUAAUGACAGUACCGGGAGAAUAAGCUCCGGCUAACUCCGUG